CCUACGGGUGACUGCAGUGAGGAAUAUUGGUCAAUGGACGAGAGUCUGAACCAGCCAAGUAGCGUGAAGGAUGACUGCCCUAUGGGUUGUAAACUUCUUUUAUAUGGGAAUAAAACAGGGUAUGCAUACCCUCUUGUAUGUACCAUAUGAAUAAGGAUCGGCUAACUCCGUGCCAGCAGCCGCGGUAAUACGGAGGAUCCGAGCGUUAUCCGGAUUUAUUGGGUUAAAGGGGAGCGUAGGUGGAUUGUUAAGUCAGUUGUAAAAGUUUGCACUCAACCGUAAAAUUGCAGUUGAAACUGGCAGUCUUGAGUACAGUAGAGGUGGGCGGAAUUCGUGGUGUAGCGGUGAAAUGCUUAGAUAUCACGAAGAACUCCGAUUGCGAAGGCAGCUCACUGGACUGCAACUGACACUGAUGCUCGAAAGUGUGGGUAUCAAACAGGAUUAGAUACCCGAGUAGUC
Molecule: ribosomal RNA, 459 nt
Filed under: uncultured bacterium
Lineage: Bacteria
Description: partial 16S ribosomal RNA
Rfam family: Bacterial small subunit ribosomal RNA
Source: RNAcentral